RNAcentral lists this ribosomal RNA (321 nucleotides) under Triticum aestivum (bread wheat). RNAcentral's name for it is "partial small subunit ribosomal RNA". Lineage: Eukaryota; Viridiplantae; Streptophyta; Magnoliopsida; Poales; Poaceae. The record is from RNAcentral.
AUGAACUUGCCAAACCUCUUGGUCUUUUCCUCCUUCACGUCAUGGCGCUUGGCACAUGCCUCCCCCUUCUUCGUCUUGAUGUCCUCGAACAUCUCCGUUAUCUUGGCAGCUGCCCGUUCUCGUUUCUCCUUCUCCUCCUCCCACUUUCUCCUCCGAUGCCUUUUGAACUUUUUGGACUGCUCAAGCCCUCCUUUUGUUGAGGCGGUUGGAUCACCAUCUUCAUCUUCGUUGGUGAUGGCAGCAGCCUUGACGGAAUUCGCAACAAAGUGGAUCCACUUGGGUUGCACAUUCAACUUAGCCCGACAAAUGCAUGAACCGUAA